RNAcentral lists this ribosomal RNA (160 nucleotides) under uncultured Lactobacillus sp. Its description in RNAcentral is "partial 16S ribosomal RNA". It matches the Rfam family "Bacterial small subunit ribosomal RNA", at positions 355 to 507 of the family's 1533-position model. The record is from RNAcentral. Lineage: Bacteria; Bacillati; Bacillota; Bacilli; Lactobacillales; Lactobacillaceae.
UAGGGAAUCUUCCACAAUGGACGAAAGUCUGAUGGAGCAACGCCGCGUGAGUGAAGAAGGGUUUCGGCUCGUAAAACUCUGUUGUUACAGAAGAACAUAUCUGAGAGUAACUGUUCAGGUAUUGACGGUAUUUAACCAGAAAGCCACGGCUAACUACGUG